Molecule: ribosomal RNA, 327 nt
Filed under: uncultured eukaryote
Lineage: Eukaryota
Description: partial 18S ribosomal RNA
Rfam family: Eukaryotic small subunit ribosomal RNA
Source: RNAcentral
CCCUUAGAUGUUCUGGGCCGCACGCGCGCUACACUGAUGAAUGCAACGAGCUCUACCCUUGACCGAAAGGCCCGGGUAAACUUGUGAAACUUCAUCGUGAUGGGGAUAGAUUAUUGCAAUUAUUAAUCUUCAACGAGGAAUUCCUAGUAAGCGCAAGUCAUCAGCUCGCGUUGAUUACGUCCCUGCCCUUUGUACACACCGCCCGUCGCUCCUACCGAUUGAAUGGUCCGGUGAAAUCUUCGGAUUGCUGACCAAGAUCCAGCAAUGGAGCUUGGUUGCGAGAAGUUGAUUAAACCUUAUUAUUUAGAGGAAGGAGAAGUCGUAACA